UCCUCGCUAGUAUAUCGGUUAGUAUAUUCGCCUCUCAGCCGAGAGAGCCUGAUCUCAGAUCAGGAAUCACCGCGAAAGAGCAGGAUUCAACUCCCUGGCGGGGAA
Molecule: non-coding RNA, 105 nt
Organism: Cutaneotrichosporon oleaginosum
Lineage: Eukaryota; Fungi; Basidiomycota; Tremellomycetes; Trichosporonales; Trichosporonaceae
Source: the annotation of a RefSeq genome assembly